This 127-nucleotide small RNA is filed under the name Salmonella enterica. RNAcentral's name for it is "RtT sRNA". It matches the Rfam family "RtT RNA". Rfam says of the family: This family represents a bacterial cis-regulatory element known as RtT RNA. The exact function of RtT is unknown although it is thought that it may be involved in changing the cellular response in relation to amino acid starvation. Lineage: Bacteria; Pseudomonadati; Pseudomonadota; Gammaproteobacteria; Enterobacterales; Enterobacteriaceae. RNAcentral also lists the same sequence under 1 other name. The record is from RNAcentral.
UAUCUCUCUGUACAGGGAAGGAUGAGAAUCUUCGAUUAAGGUUCGAUUCGAGCGGAAGCGAGAGAACGUUGCCAACGGCAACGGCCCGAAGGGCGCGACGCGCCGAGUCAUCCUUCCCCCACCACAA